This 468-nucleotide ribosomal RNA is filed under the name uncultured bacterium. Its description in RNAcentral is "partial 16S ribosomal RNA". It matches the Rfam family "Bacterial small subunit ribosomal RNA", at positions 28 to 507 of the family's 1533-position model. The record is from RNAcentral.
GACGAACGCUGGCGGCGUGCUUAACACAUGCAAGUCGAACGGAAAGGCCCUGCUUUUGUGGGGUGCUCGAGUGGCGAACGGGUGAGUAACACGUGAGUAACCUGCCCUUGACUUUGGGAUAACUUCAGGAAACUGGGGCUAAUACCGGAUAGGAGCUCCUGCUGCAUGGUGGGGGUUGGAAAGUUUCGGCGGUUGGGGAUGGACUCGCGGCUUAUCAGCUUGUUGGUGGGGUAGUGGCUUACCAAGGCUUUGACGGGUAGCCGGCCUGAGAGGGUGACCGGCCACAUUGGGACUGAGAUACGGCCCAGACGCCUACGGGAGGCAGCAAUGAGGAAUAUUGCACAAUGGGAGGAAGCCUGAUGCAGCAACGCCGCGUGCGGGAUGACGGCCUUCGGGUUGUAAACCGCUUUCGCCUGUGACGAAGCGUGAGUGACGGUAAUGGGUAAAGAAGCACCGGCUAACUACGUG